AUUGAACGCUGGCGGCAGGCCUAACACAUGCAAGUCGAGCGGAUGAAGGGAGCUUGCUCCUGGAUUCAGCGGCGGACGGGUGAGUAAUGCCUAGGAAUCUGCCUGGUAGUGUUGGAUAACGUCCGGAAACGGGCGCUAAUACCGCAUACGUCCUGAGGGCGAAAGUGGGGGACCUUCGGACCUCACGCUAUCACAUGAGCCUAGGUCGGAUUAGCUAGUUGGUGGGGUAAAGGCCUACAAAGGCGACGAUCCGUAACUGGUCUGAGAGGAUGAUCAGUCACACUGGAACUGAGACACGGUCCAGACUCCUACGGGAGGCAGCAGUGGGGAAUAUUGGACAAUGGGCGAAAGCCUGAUCCAGCCAUGCCGCGUGUGUGAAGAAGGUCUUCGGAUUGUAAAGCACUUUAAGUUGGGAGGAAGGGCAGUAAGUUAAUACCUUGCUGUUUUGACGUUACCAAAAGAAUAAGCACCGGCUAACUUCGUG
This 484-nucleotide ribosomal RNA is filed under the name uncultured bacterium. RNAcentral describes it as "partial 16S ribosomal RNA". It matches the Rfam family "Bacterial small subunit ribosomal RNA", at positions 30 to 507 of the family's 1533-position model. The record is from RNAcentral.